This 23-nucleotide non-coding RNA is filed under the name Arabidopsis thaliana (thale cress). The record is from RNAcentral. Lineage: Eukaryota; Viridiplantae; Streptophyta; Magnoliopsida; Brassicales; Brassicaceae.
AAUAAGUUGAGAAUCAAGUUCCU